Molecule: transfer RNA, 72 nt
Organism: Pachysolen tannophilus NRRL Y-2460
Lineage: Eukaryota; Fungi; Ascomycota; Pichiomycetes; Alaninales; Pachysolenaceae
Rfam family: tRNA
About the family: Transfer RNA (tRNA) molecules are approximately 80 nucleotides in length. Their secondary structure includes four short double-helical elements and three loops (D, anti-codon, and T loops).
Source: Rfam
GGUUCUAUAGCUUAAUAGUAAAGCCUCAUUUUGUCACAAUGAAAGAUGCCUGUUCAAAUCGGGUUGGAAUCG